AUCUCUAUUGAAGCAAGAAGACCCCCUGAAUUUAAGCAUAUAAUUAAGGGGAGGAAAAGAAACCAACUCGGAUUCCCCUAGUAAUGGCGAGUGAAGCGGGAAGAGCUCAUGUUGUAAAUCUCCAGCUUGCUGGCGAAUUGUAGUCUAAAGGUGCGUGCUCAGUCGUGGUCCCGGGCUAAGUCUGUUGGAAAACAGCAUCAUGGACGGUGACAAUCCGGUUCUUGCCUGGGGUCCCGCGGCGUACGAGCCGUUUCCGACGAGUCGUGUUGCUUGGGAUUGCAGCACUAAGUGGGUGGUAAAUUCCAUCUAAAGCUAAAUAUUGGUGGGAGACCGAUAGCGAACAAGUACCGUGAGGGAAAGAUGAAAAGACUUUUGAAAAGAGAGUAAAAUAGUACCUGAAACUGCUGAAAGGGAAGCGAUUGAAGUCAGUGUUGCUCCUGGUCUUUUUGCCGUCGCCCCCGUGGGGGUUGCGGCGUGGGGCCUGGAGCGUUUCAACAUGCGUUCUGUUCCGCGGGAAAUGUUCAGUGUGCUGGAACCUUCGGGGAAACGCACUGUUCUUGUCGUGGUUAGGACGGAGGACCUUUGCUCCUUUGACUGCGCGUUCCUCUCUCGGGUAUGCUGGUGUCUACUGCUUGCAGUUUUCAUUUUCAUGCUUGCGACUGUGCGUGUUAUUCAUGAGCGAACAUGAUGUUGAAGAAAUGGCUUUAAUUACCCCGUCUUGAAACACGGACCAAGGAGUCUAACAUACGUGCGAGUACUAUGGUGGCAAACCAUUGUGCGCAAUGAAAGUGAAGGCUGGCUUCCGUCAGCUGAGGUGGGAUCCGCAAGGAGCACCAUCGACCGACCAUGUCCCUUCGGGGUAAAGGUUUGAGUGUGAGCAUUUAUGUUGGGACCCGAAAGAUGGUGAACUAUGCCUGAAUAGGGCGAAGCCAGGGGAAACUCUGGUGGAGGCUCGUAGUGAUUCUGACGUGCAAAUCGAUCAUCAAAUUUGGGUAUAGGGGCGAAAGACUAAUCGAACCAUCUAGUAGCUGGUUCCCUCCGAAAUUUCCCUUAGGAUAGCUG
Molecule: ribosomal RNA, 1062 nt
Filed under: Heterosigma akashiwo
Lineage: Eukaryota; Raphidophyceae; Chattonellales; Chattonellaceae
Description: partial Eukaryotic large subunit ribosomal RNA
Rfam family: Eukaryotic large subunit ribosomal RNA
Source: RNAcentral